UACGAAGGGGGCGAGCGUUUGUUCGGAUUUACUGGGCGUAAAGGGCGCGUAGGCGCCUUGUCAGUCAGGCGUGAAAGCCCCGGGCUCAACCUGGGAACGGCGCUUGGGACGGCGAGGCUGGAGUUCGGGAGAGGAGAGUGGAAUUCCCAGUGUAGAGGUGAAAUUCGUAGAUAUUGGGAAGAACACCGGUGGCGAAGGCGGCUCUCUGGACCGACACUGACGCUGGAGGCGCGAAAGCGUGGGGAGCAAACAGG
This 254-nucleotide ribosomal RNA is filed under the name uncultured bacterium. Its description in RNAcentral is "partial 16S ribosomal RNA". It matches the Rfam family "Bacterial small subunit ribosomal RNA", at positions 524 to 776 of the family's 1533-position model. The record is from RNAcentral.